CGAAUGGGGGACCCCCGCACCAGUCAUGUGGUGUGACCCGCGCCUGAACACAUAGGGCGUGUGGAGGGAACGUGGGGAAGUGAAACAUCUCAGUACCCACAGGAAGAGAAAACAACAGUGAUUCCGUCAGUAGUGGCGAGCGAACGCGGAAGAGGCCAAACCAUGUGCAUGUGAUACCCGGCAGGGGUUGUGCGUGUGGGGUUGUGGGGUUUGUCU
Molecule: ribosomal RNA, 216 nt
Filed under: Thalassiosira minuscula
Lineage: Eukaryota; Bacillariophyta; Thalassiosirophyceae; Thalassiosirales; Thalassiosiraceae
Description: partial Bacterial large subunit ribosomal RNA
Rfam family: Bacterial large subunit ribosomal RNA
Source: RNAcentral